Molecule: non-coding RNA, 120 nt
Filed under: Fragilariopsis kerguelensis
Lineage: Eukaryota; Bacillariophyta; Bacillariophyceae; Bacillariales; Bacillariaceae
Source: RNAcentral
GUGAGUUUGGGGUGUGGGAUUCUAGGACGGUAUCCGAUCCUGUCCUUGCUGUGUUUUGUCUUAGUGGGAGUCUGUAUUGGGAUCGGGUUGAGUUAUUGGCGUCCCACUACGGCCGACGGC